AUGGCGGCGGCGCGGGGGCAAAAGGCGCUGGCGACGCUGGUGAGGUCGCUGCGGAGCGAUUCCAUCUCCAACUCCAACGCUCCCAGGCUCAGGCACCUCCCGUCUCUCAGGAGGACCUUCUCGCUCUACGACCAGAUCAACCUCAUCGACAACGUCCCCGAAGACCAGCUCCGCUUCCAAACUUACGAUGACACUGGAUUCAAGAUUAACAAUGUAAAGUAUGAAGGGAGCUUGCUGAUAGUAGAAAACAAGAUAAUGACCUGGACACCCAAAACAUUUGCGGAUAUAACUGCUGAAAGUUUAUCAAUCUUCAAAGUUGUGCACCCAAUCCCAGAGAUUCUAAUUCUUGGUUGCGGGAAAUACGUCCAGCCAGUCAGUCCUGAGCUGCGCAAGUUCAUUCGGUCAACAGGGAUGAAACUGGAGGCCAUCGAUUCGAGGAAUGCGGCUUCGACCUAUAAUAUUCUGAACGAAGAGGGGAGGGCAGUGGCGGCCGCAGUUCUUCCGUUUGGGGUCGACUCUUGA
RNAcentral lists this ribosomal RNA (522 nucleotides) under Triticum aestivum (bread wheat). RNAcentral describes it as "partial small subunit ribosomal RNA". Lineage: Eukaryota; Viridiplantae; Streptophyta; Magnoliopsida; Poales; Poaceae. The record is from RNAcentral.